This 89-nucleotide transfer RNA is filed under the name Leifsonia xyli. RNAcentral describes it as "tRNA-Ser". It matches the Rfam family "tRNA". Rfam says of the family: Transfer RNA (tRNA) molecules are approximately 80 nucleotides in length. Lineage: Bacteria; Bacillati; Actinomycetota; Actinomycetes; Micrococcales; Microbacteriaceae. RNAcentral also lists the same sequence under 1 other name. The record is from RNAcentral.
GGAUAGUUGGCUGAGUUGGUCUAAGGCACCUGGUUGCUAACCAGACGAGUCGCAAGGCUCCAUCCGUUCGAAUCGGAUACUAUCCGCCA